RNAcentral lists this ribosomal RNA (261 nucleotides) under uncultured archaeon. Its description in RNAcentral is "partial 16S ribosomal RNA". It matches the Rfam family "Archaeal small subunit ribosomal RNA", at positions 748 to 1009 of the family's 1478-position model. The record is from RNAcentral.
CAGCCGUAAACUAUGCGCGUUAGGUGUACUGGUGACCACGAGUCACCGGGUGCCGAAGGGAAACCGUGAAACGUGCCGCCUGGGAAGUACGGUCGCAAGGCUGAAACUUAAAGGAAUUGGCGGGGGAGCACCGACAACGGGUGGAGCCUGCGGUUUAAUUGGACUCAACGCCGGAAAUCUCACCGGAUAGGACAGACAUAUGAUAGUCGGGCUGAAGACUCUACUUGAUGAUCUGAGAGGAGGUGCAUGGCGUAGUCGUGU